This is a long non-coding RNA of Triticum aestivum (bread wheat), 522 nucleotides long. RefSeq lists it as uncharacterized. Lineage: Eukaryota; Viridiplantae; Streptophyta; Magnoliopsida; Poales; Poaceae. The record is from RefSeq and is a predicted model, not a curated record. The transcript is spliced from 2 exons.
GAUCCAUCGAGUGCGUCAUAACUCAUAGCAAGGUAUAUCAAGGAUGGAAAAAGCUCAUCUACAAGCACUUACAUGGCACAAUCAUUACACAAUGGAUUAGAUAUCGUUCUUUUAUAUAUUACAUCAUAGGAUUUCUUAUCCGUCAGUACGUGUAAUAAGCUUAUACUACCUCCGUCCGGAUUUAUUGGUCCCCAUUGUAUUUUGUGUUAAAUUUUAACCAUAGAUUAAACUAACAAAAUGUUUACGCAUGUCACCAAGCAUUAUUUGUUUUUAAACUAUGUUCAAAUACGAAUCCAAUGAGAUAAUUUUUUUGACAUGCAUUAACAUUUUGUUAGUUAAAUCUUUAGUCAAAAUUCGGCACAAACUACAAAAGGGACCUAUAAACCAGGACGGAGGUAGUACCUUAUAGCUAGCUGCCACAAUAUUGUGUAUUGUCACAGCUGUACUCCAUCACUGUGUCUACCAUCCUUUUUAUUUCCAAUAUACAAUCACAUCUAUUUAUAAAUUAGCUUUAUAGCUUUA